RNAcentral lists this ribosomal RNA (502 nucleotides) under uncultured bacterium. RNAcentral's name for it is "bacterial SSU rRNA". It matches the Rfam family "Bacterial small subunit ribosomal RNA", at positions 8 to 526 of the family's 1533-position model. The record is from RNAcentral.
AGAGUUUGAUCCUGGCUCAGGACGAACGCUGGCGGCGUGCUUAACACAUGCAAGUCGAGCGAUGAAGUUCCUUCGGGAACGGAUUAGCGGCGGACGGGUGAGUAACACGUGGGUAACCUGCCUCAUAGAGGGGAAUAGCCUUCCGAAAGGAAGAUUAAUACCGCAUAAGAUUGUAGUAUCGCAUGAUACAGCAAUUAAAGGAGUAAUCCGCUAUGAGAUGGACCCGCGUCGCAUUAGCUAGUUGGUGAGGUAACGGCUCACCAAGGCGACGAUGCGUAGCCGACCUGAGAGGGUGAUCGGCCACAUUGGGACUGAGACACGGCCCAGACUCCUACGGGAGGCAGCAGUGAGGAAUAUUGCACAAUGGGCGCAAGCCUGAUGCAGCGACGCCGCGUGGGUGAAGAAGGUUUUCGGAUCGUAAAACCCUUUUCUGUGUGACGAGAACGGACGGUAGCACAGGAAUAAGUCUCGGCUAACUACGUGCCAGCCGCCGCGGUAAUAC